UUUUAACUCAGCUCAACAUCUGAUCCUUAGUCCUCUGCCAGUGCUCCCCAAUGUAUGCCCAUAUUGGCUGUCAACUCCUGGACCUCACCUCUAUUCAAUUCCCUCAUUCUGGACAGGCCUGGAUGGAGCACAAGUAGAGAAUGGUGCAGGAUCGUCGUCGGAUUUGCUGGCUAUACCCGGGGCUGAGGACAAUACUACAAUACUACAACCCGUAGUUUAAGGAUUCUCUGAGAGUGAGGCUCCCGAUAUGCUGGGGAAGAGCCAGUAACCUGGAAUGACGAUGAUGAAAACAAAUUAAAGAAAUUGAAAGAAGAAUUAGUAACUGCCCCAGUACUCAGUACUUCUCUUUCAUCAAGAAAUCUCAGGCCUUGUUUAUAACAGUAGUGAUUUGUGGAGGCACAGGAGCCAAAGGCAGUGAUGGUGUGGAAGGAGGCCUCUAAGGUAUGAACUCAAAGCAUGAAAGGAAGGUAUUCCCCCACAUAAAGAUAGUAAGAAAAAGCUUUUCCCGUAGUUCUUUGCACCCCCAUUUUACUUUACUCCAGGUAUAUGUAGCCAUUUAGUCUUGAGCUGUCAUUCCCCUUUUUACCUUACAUGUCCUCUCCCUAGAAAGUUCUCCCUUCCCUGUUUCUCCAUUAGCCCUAGU
Non-coding RNA from Cyanistes caeruleus (blue tit), 643 nucleotides. The record is from RefSeq and is a predicted model, not a curated record. NCBI's taxonomy places the organism in Eukaryota, Metazoa, Chordata, Aves, Passeriformes, Paridae.